This 148-nucleotide non-coding RNA is filed under the name Nomascus leucogenys (northern white-cheeked gibbon). The record is from Rfam by way of RNAcentral. Lineage: Eukaryota; Metazoa; Chordata; Mammalia; Primates; Hylobatidae.
GCUGGGCAUGGUGGCCUGUGCCUGUAGUCCCAGCUACUUGGGAGGCUGAGGCAGGAGGAUCACCUGAGCCCGGGAAGUUGAGGCUGUGGUGAGCUGUGAUCGUGCCACUGCACCCCAGCUUGGGUGAUACAGUGAGACCCUGUCUCAA